AGAAAGGAAACACCUCCGCGGGUGACACUUCUUGCAUAGUUCAGCCUCCAGGGCAUACACUCCAACUUGAAUUUCAUACCACAGCUCAGUGAGCAGAGGAUGUCUUUGAAAGGUUACUACAAACAUGACCCCGGAGGGCUCUGGACCAUGCAAGACAGCCUUCCAGCUUGAUGACUGGAACCGUUGUUUGCUGUAAGAAUCACGUUGUCAGACACGCAGCUUGUCAUUUAUGUGACCACAGCAUCCUGAUGGGCCUCCUUCCAUCGUGACCAGUUUACUUAAGAAAGAAAACACUACUAAGAGGACAAGAGACAAGGCCAUUGGCAUAAACUACAAAGUAGAAACAACUGGGUCUUUCCUUAGAGAAUCGGAAUGUAAAAUCUCAUUCUUUCCAGGACCAUGGAACCUCAAACUUCAGCGCUUCACAGUACGACCUCAGGAAUUAAACAUCAAAAUGUGAGCCUGGACCUUAAAUCACUCUGAGGAGAAUACAAACUAUAGAGACCUAUCCAGACCACAGCAAAUGUCACCAAGAGGACUUUGAAAUGGUACAAUACAACUUGGGAUAACAUGACCUGUUUCUUUUCUGCCUGCCAUACGUGUGGCCUUCCUGUGCAGAGCAAUUGUCCUCCUAGUGUCACCAGGAGACUACUUACACUAACCACAGUGGUAUGAUGCCACGUUUCAGAGCCCACUUGCAGAAAAUGAACCCAUAACUACAUUGGACUAAAAUGACAUCAUUGGUAAACAAGAGAUGAGAUACUGUUGAUUAUUUUGAUGACUCUGGUAUGGCUCUUUGUUGGGUAUCAAUAAUGCAUUGUGCUCCAUCUGCAACACAGAGUUAGAUACUGCUCCUAGCAGGGUAUUUAGUCUACAUGGACAUGCAGGCAACCAAGAGAUGCUGUGAGAGCAAAAAGCAAAACCAGGAGCUGUUCAGUUGUUUAGCCUAUCAGCCUUUGCACUCUCCUCCUUGGAAACGGUGCUGGCAGCUAGAAGAAUCUACAUCACAGUUCUCCAGAAAGUUCUGCAAGACUUUCAGCAAGGGUGAUAGAAGAACACCCAGACUUCAAAAUCAGGUUGUGUCUCACUAUACCAAAGCUCCAUCUAUUACAGGAAGGAAUUUACUUGUAAAUUCUUACAAAUAGCAUUAGCAUUCUUAAUGCAUUCCUAAUUGGAUUAGAAUUAUAAACACAGUAAACAGCCAGGGACAGAAAUCUGAGCUACCUAUAUAAUUAACACUUGUCCCUAGGCUAAUAGACUGCACUGACCAAGAAACAGGACCCCCAAAUUAGAUGCUGUACCCUUAAUCUAAUGAGGACACACUCCCAGCUUGGAGGUCUUCAGCUCAGAUUUCUUUAGGACACUUGAGUAUUUGUACAAAACCAUCUUUGAUUCUAGGAAAUUAGUGUCGUUAGAGCUCAAAAUGGAUUUAGGCAGCAUUUUCAUUGGCAGGCAACUUCAGAGAUCACCACCUAAUAAAAUCUCCUUCCAUAGUCUGGAGGCACCACACAGACACACCCCAUUAGCUCAUGUAGCAGAUCCUCUAUGGGAGGUGGUUGCUUCUGGUGGCUGACUGUGUUGCUCAGUUUGCAUGGUGUUGGAUCCCUUGCAAUGCUUAACAUCUACUGGUGAAUGCUGGAAGUUCUGUUGUGUAGAUGAAAUGGGGUAAGAAAAGAGAAGAGAGCAGAACUUUAGUCUAGUCAUUCCUGCUCUUUCAAAGGUCUUGGUUCCCAAUCCUUCCCAUUUUAGAUACUUGAUCUAACUCUGUCCUUCUCUACCGUACCUCCUCCAGCUUAUACUCUGAAUUCAGAAGAAUGAUCAUGCAAAAAAACAAUCCAAAAUGCUUGUAAUCAAUUCCUUGCAAACUACCUCUUCCUUGCCGGAAAGGUGCCCACACAUUGGCCUACACAAAAGCACUCCAGAAUGCGUUUGGACUGCACAGUGGCCUCUCCGAUUCCCCUCUACCUUAUCAACAACUCCAAAGAUGAGAGAUUGCCAAGUCCCAGAGCCAGGCAAAAACCUUGUUUGAUGAACAAAGGAUGCGACUGAAGCUCCUUAGAGGAUGGAAGAGAGGAGGAGGGGGAAGGCUCUGUGCCCCAGUGAGACAAACAACCCUGGGACCGAUCACCAGCCUGUGGCUACCUUCACAGAAACUCCUGGUUAUCUGGAAGGUAGCCU
Mus musculus (house mouse) is the source of this 2178-nucleotide long non-coding RNA. RefSeq annotates it as predicted gene, 31822. The transcript is spliced from 3 exons. Lineage: Eukaryota; Metazoa; Chordata; Mammalia; Rodentia; Muridae. The record is from RefSeq and is a predicted model, not a curated record.